AGGACGAACGCUGGCGGCGUGCUUAACACAUGCAAGUCGAACGGUGAAGCCUUCGGGUGGAUCAGUGGCGAACGGGUGAGUAACACGUGGGCAAUCUGCCCUGCACUCUGGGACAAGCCCUGGAAACGGGGUCUAAUACCGGAUAUUACCUGGGAGGGCAUCUUCCCGGGUGUAAAGCUCCGGCGGUGCAGGAUGAGCCCGCGGCCUAUCAGCUUGUUGGUGGGGUGAUGGCCUACCAAGGCGACGACGGGUAGCCGGCCUGAGAGGGCGACCGGCCACACUGGGACUGAGACACGGCCCAGACUCCUACGGGAGGCAGCAGUGGGGAAUAUUGCACAAUGGGCGAAAGCCUGAUGCAGCGACGCCGCGUGAGGGAUGACGGCCUUCGGGUUGUAACCUCUUUCAGCAGGGAAGAAGCGUGAGUGACGGUACCUGCAGAAGAAGCACCGGCUAACGUACGCGCCAGCAGCCGCGGU
RNAcentral lists this ribosomal RNA (476 nucleotides) under uncultured bacterium. RNAcentral describes it as "SSU rRNA". It matches the Rfam family "Bacterial small subunit ribosomal RNA", at positions 26 to 521 of the family's 1533-position model. The record is from RNAcentral.